This 890-nucleotide ribosomal RNA is filed under the name Phaeocollybia californica. RNAcentral describes it as "eukaryotic LSU rRNA". It matches the Rfam family "Eukaryotic large subunit ribosomal RNA", at positions 63 to 939 of the family's 3401-position model. Lineage: Eukaryota; Fungi; Basidiomycota; Agaricomycetes; Agaricales; Phaeocollybiaceae. The record is from RNAcentral.
AACUAACAAGGAUUCCCCUAGUAACUGCGAGUGAAGAGGGAAAAGCUCAAAUUUAAAAUCUGGCUUCCUUAGGUUGUCCGAGUUGUAAUCUAGAGAAGCGUCAUCCGCGCUGGACCGUGUACAAGUCUCCUGGAACGGAGCGUCAUAGAGGGUGAGAAUCCCGUCUUCGACACGGACUACCGGGGCUUUGUGAUGCGCUCUCAAAGAGUCGAGUUGUUUGGGAAUGCAGCUCAAAAUGGGUGGUAAAUUCCAUCUAAAGCUAAAUAUUGGCGAGAGACCGAUAGCGAACAAGUACCGUGAGGGAAAGAUGAAAAGAACUUUGGAAAGAGAGUUAAACAGUACGUGAAAUUGCUGAAAGGGAAACGCUUGAAGUCAGUCGCGUUGGUCGAGAAUCAGCCUUGCUUUUGCAUGGCUUAUUUCGCGGUUCAACGGGUCAGCAUCAAUUUUGACCAUUGGAUAAAGAUGAGAGGAAUGUAGCAUCUUCGGAUGUGUUAUAGCCUCUUGUUGCAUGCAGUGGUUGGGAUUGAGGAACUCAGCACGCCGCAAGGCCGGGAGCAAUCCACGUUCGUGCUUAGGAUGCUGGCAUAAUGGCUUUAAUCGACCCGUCUUGAAACACGGACCAAGGAGUCUAACAUGCCUGCAAGUGUUUGGGUGUAAAACCCAUGCGCGCAAUGAAAGUGAAAGUUGAGAUCCCUGUCGUGGGGAGCAUCGACGCCCGGACCAGACCUUUUGUGACGGAUCCGCGGUAGAGCAUGUAUGUUGGGACCCGAAAGAUGGUGAACUAUGCCUGAAUAGGGUGAAGCCAGAGGAAACUCUGGUGGAGGCUCGUAGCGAUUCUGACGUGCAAAUCGAUCGUCAAAUUUGGGUAUAGGGGCGAAAGACUAAUCGAA